This 301-nucleotide ribosomal RNA is filed under the name uncultured bacterium. RNAcentral's name for it is "partial 16S ribosomal RNA". It matches the Rfam family "Bacterial small subunit ribosomal RNA", at positions 509 to 807 of the family's 1533-position model. The record is from RNAcentral.
CAGUAGCCGCGGUAAUACGAAGGGUGCAAGCGUUAAUCGGAAUUACUGGGCGUAAAGCGUGCGUAGGCGGUGAGCUAAGUCUGCUGUGAAAUCCCCGGGCUCAACCUGGGAAUGGCAGUGGAUACUGGCUCGCUAGAGUGUGUCAGAGGAUGGUGGAAUUCCCGGUGUAGCGGUGAAAUGCGUAGAGAUCUGGAGGAAUACCGGUGGCGAAGGCGGCCCACUGGCCCGGAACUGACGCUGAAGCACGACAGCGUGGGGAGCAAACAGGAUUAGAGACCCCGGUAGUCCCUGUCUCUUAUAC